Molecule: ribosomal RNA, 252 nt
Filed under: uncultured bacterium
Lineage: Bacteria
Description: partial 16S ribosomal RNA
Rfam family: Bacterial small subunit ribosomal RNA
Source: RNAcentral
UACGUAGGGUGCAAGCGUUGUCCGGAAUUAUUGGGCGUAAAGAGCUCGUAGGCGGUUUGUUGCGUCGGCCGUGAAAACCUGCAGCUUAACUGUGGGCCUGCGGCCGAUACGGGCAGACUUGAGUUCGGUAGGGGAGACUGGAAUUCCUGGUGUAGCGGUGAAAUGCGCAGAUAUCAGGAGGAACACCGGUGGCGAAGGCGGGUCUCUGGGCCGAUACUGACGCUGAGGAGCGAAAGCGUGGGAGCGAACAGG